UUGUGUCUUGUGAAUCUUCUCAGCUAACCCUCCUGAUCUACCUACGAUUAAUUACGACUAGGCCCUUGCAAUCUUGUUUAGCUCGUGGAAUCUAUGUUUUAGCUCCGUUCUAAUCCGUUCAAGUUGCGUUAAGUUCAUAAUAACAUAAAAUACACGUUAGUGGUAAUAUUUUCAUUCAUGCAUGUUUUUGAAAAUAAAUUUGUUAUUAAUUUGAGUAAUGCCUGAUAAACAUGUUUCUUCUCUAAAUAAAAUCUACUCAGAG
This 262-nucleotide long non-coding RNA is filed under the name Setaria viridis. Its description in RNAcentral is "long non-coding RNA (SVIR_LNC010803)". Lineage: Eukaryota; Viridiplantae; Streptophyta; Magnoliopsida; Poales; Poaceae. The record is from RNAcentral.